GACGAACGCUGGCGGCGUGCUUAACACAUGCAAGUCGAACGGAGCUAUUUAUUUCGGUAGAUAGCUUAGUGGCAAACGGGUGAGUAACGCGUAGGCAACCUGCCCUCAGGAUGGGGACAACGGCUCGAAAGAGCCGCUAAUACCGAAUGACGUAACUCUUCCACAUGGAAGAGAUACUAAAGAUGGGUCAAACCAUCGCCUAAGGAUGGGCCUGCGUCUGAUUAGCCAGUUGGUGAGGUAACGGCUCACCAAAGCGACGAUCAGUAGCCGGUCUGAGAGGAUGAACGGCCACAAUGGGACUGAGACACGGCCCAUACUCCUACGGGAGGCAGCAGUGGGGAAUCUUCCGCAAUGGGCGAAAGCCUGACGGAGCAACGCCGCGUGAGUGAAGAAGGUCUUCGGAUCGUAAAGCUCUGUUGUCGGGGACGAAAGGAAAGGGGAGGCAAUGCCCUUUUCAAGACGGUACCCGAC
This 471-nucleotide ribosomal RNA is filed under the name Veillonellaceae bacterium oral taxon 155. RNAcentral describes it as "bacterial SSU rRNA". It matches the Rfam family "Bacterial small subunit ribosomal RNA", at positions 28 to 483 of the family's 1533-position model. The record is from RNAcentral. Lineage: Bacteria; Bacillati; Bacillota; Negativicutes; Veillonellales; Veillonellaceae.